UGACGUCAUUCCAGAUAACUUCAUCUGCAAUUUAUAGUACUACAUACAGUAGUACUGUCACUUUAAAAAAAUGAGCCAGCACUUUGUCAUGUGCUUGUGUUGGGCUGGGUGUGUAUACACUGAAGCUGUAUUCUCCAUUUUGUGGAUUGCUGGUACAAGCGUCUCCUUCCUCAUUCAUACACCAGAACACUACUAGACACUGAGAGGUUAAACCAAAAUCAGAUACCUACGUGGACUACGCUAAAGAACUCUGCCACAGAUAACCAAUGUCAGUGGAAGACCAAGAGGCACAAGUGGAUGAACUAUUUGCCCUUGCUAGUAUUUACUCUGAAGACGAAUAUAAGAGGACAGAUGCUGCUCCAGGAGGGGAAAUUCAUUUGUGUCUAGAGUUACCUUCAGAUUUUGUAGUAUCUAUAAAAAGCAACAGUGCCACAAACUCCUUUGCAGACAACUUUGAGAACACCGUGUCCUUUCUGCCAUCAAUCGUCUUGAACUUUGAACUUCCUCCCGGAUAUCCAUCCACUUCACCCCCGAACUUCACGUUAAGCUGCAAGUGGCUUUCUCCAGCACAGCUUACUCUGUUAUGCCAGCGUUUAGAUGACCUAUGGGAGGAGAACAAGGGAUCCGUUGUCUUGUUUCGAUGGAUUCAGUUUCUAAAUGAGGAGACACUCGAUUACUUAAACAUAAAAUCUCCAUAUGAAAUUGAGGUGUCCAGUAAUGGUUUACAGGACUGGAGUCAAUCCCCUGAAAAGACCCUUGAUAAUGGGGUCUUAUCGGAAAGGGAGGCAUUGGACAGACGGGGUAUACAGGAUGUGCAGUCAGUGUCUGCUCUAGUUAAAUGUAUUCUGGACUUCAAUGAAGCUCAACAGAAGAAGGCUUUUGAUCGGAAACUAUUCUUAUGCAACAUCUGUUUUAUGGAGAAGUUGGGCAGUGACUGCACCCACUUUAAAGCAUGCGAGCAUGUAUACUGUAACCCCUGUCUUAAAGAAUACUUUGAAGUCCAGAUUAAGGACGGACAAGUCCAUGCCCUGAACUGUCCUGACCCAGAGUGCUCGUCUGUUGCAACGCAUGCUCAGGUAAAGGAUCUGGUUGGGGAGCAGCUUUUCAGCCGUUAUGAUGAAUUCCUCCUGCGAUCAAGCCUGGAAUUAAUGCCUGAUAUUGUUUACUGCCCCCGACCAAGCUGCCAGACACCAGUCAUGCAAGAGCCAGACAAAAGAAUGGGAAUUUGUUCAGCCUGCCAAUAUGCGUUUUGUGUCUACUGCAAAUUGGGCUUCCAUGGAUUCUACCCUUGCGUAGUAUCUAAAGCAAGACUUCUCGAAUUGGCUGAAGAGUAUUUUGCUGCGAACGCAAAAAAAAAGAAAGAAAUGUUGAUGAGAUAUGCAGGGCUUGGGACUGUUGAAGAUAUGAAGAAUAAGGAGUGGAUAAAGGAGAACUCAAAGCCCUGCCCUAGCUGUAAAAGUCCCAUUCAGAAAAAUGAUGGCUGUAACAAGAUGACUUGCACUGCGUGUAAGCAGUUCUUCUGCUGGAUGUGUAUGACGAUCCUGCCUCAAGUGGACCCAUAUAAACAUUAUGCGGAUCCUGCAGAGUGUAGAAAUCGGUGCAUCUUAUGGUCAGGUACAUCUUAUGGAGCGAAAAAUACGGUAUGUUAUAAAAGAGUAGAUAACAUGUAAAAGUACCUUCUUAGUGUAUUUCAUGCUGUGUAGUUGCCAUAGAUUUUAUAUAGGUAAAACUGAGAGGCAACUUCGUACUAGGAUACGGGAACAUUUAUACUCCAUAAGAAAAGGAGGAGGUUCCCCGAGAUUUGUACAACACAUGCAGGAAAUCCACGGAGAUAACUAUGAGCAACUAAGGUUUGGAGGUUUGGAACAGAUUGCUGAAUUCCAUAACAGAAGUCGUUCAUUGCUUCAAGCUGAAGACCGUUGGAUUCUACGUCUGGAAGCCCAGGGCCCAUAAGGUUUGAACGACAGGCUAGACAUGUCUCCGUUCCUAUAAUCCACUCCUUCAUUUUGUUUAUUUAUAGUAUGUUUGCUACAGGUUGUCCGCUUUAUAAAUCCCCUAAUGAUGAAUAUUUUGUAUAUUACUUAGUUUUUCUAUUUUUCAAGCUCUUUUGUAUGUUUUACCUGCACCUGUGACGUACGUCUCUUGAUUACAUGAACAUCACCUUGCACUAUAUCUUUUGCAUGGCACGAUGACGUUAACGAGGCCGGAAGAAGCGCAUAAUCUGUGCGUGAAACCGCUGGAAGACACUUCUGAGCGCCCCACGCCAAGCACACCUGCCAGUCAGAUGGAUUACUCCUGAGGAGCCGGACACAUUGAAUCCGAGCGGACUGAGCACCACUAUCAAGAUGACUGUUAUUUAUCCCUUACCAGAUUCCCGCCGAAGCCGAAUCCACCAAUCAAGAGACGCUCCAAUCUGCCCAGCAACAGCCGGCCCCU
Hyla sarda is the source of this 2436-nucleotide RNA transcript. It is a transcript of the gene named E3 ubiquitin-protein ligase RNF14-like, with no coding region annotated. NCBI's taxonomy places the organism in Eukaryota, Metazoa, Chordata, Amphibia, Anura, Hylidae. The record is from RefSeq and is a predicted model, not a curated record. The transcript has 9 exons.